AACGAACGCUGGCGGCAUGCCUAACACAUGCAAGUCGAACGAGACCUUCGGGUCUAGUGGCGCACGGGUGCGUAACGCGUGGGAACCUGCCCUUGGCUUGGCAUCAACUCCCGGAAGGGGCUCGAAAACCGGAUCAAGUCCUCGGACCAAAGGGUUAUUGCCUUUGGGUGGGGCCGAGUUGGAUUCGGUUGUUGGUAGGGUAAAAGCCUACCAAGGCGACGAUCCAUAGCUGGUCUGAGAGGAGGGACAGCCACACUGGGACUGAGACACGGCCCAGACUCCUACGGGAGGCAGCAGUGGGGAAUAUAGGACAGUGGGCGAAAGCCUGAUCCAGCAAUGCCGCGUGAGUGAUGAAGGCCUUAGGGUUGUAAAGCUCUAUUAACCGGGAUGAUAAUGACAGUACCGGGAGAAUAAGCUCCGGCUAACUCCGUG
This 432-nucleotide ribosomal RNA is filed under the name uncultured bacterium. RNAcentral's name for it is "partial 16S ribosomal RNA". It matches the Rfam family "Bacterial small subunit ribosomal RNA", at positions 29 to 507 of the family's 1533-position model. The record is from RNAcentral.